Molecule: long non-coding RNA, 300 nt
Organism: Dicentrarchus labrax (European seabass)
Lineage: Eukaryota; Metazoa; Chordata; Actinopteri; Moronidae
Exons: 3
Source: RefSeq, a predicted model, not a curated record
CAAACAUCCCAAUCAUAACCGCCAGAUACCAGAUGACAUUCCUGAAGUUCUCCUCAGCCAGAGUCUUGUCCAAAGCGUUGGCUGCAGCUGUCAUAUUACGCCUCCAGUUGUCCAGUAUAACACAGAAAACAACACAUUACGAAGAGUGAAGUGAAGUGAAAUAACCCAGACUAAGAUGUUUACGUAGGACCCAUCACUCACGGUAAGGAGGUUUUCGAAGGCCACGUCAAGAAACUGGUCAGGAGAUGAAGACACUUUGGAGUGAAAACGAAGUAAAGAGGCAAUGGCAGGGAGCACGGC